Triticum aestivum (bread wheat) is the source of this 135-nucleotide non-coding RNA. Lineage: Eukaryota; Viridiplantae; Streptophyta; Magnoliopsida; Poales; Poaceae. The record is from Rfam.
GUAGUACUCCCUCCCUCUCAAAACUCUUGUCUUAGAUUUGUCUAAAUACGGAUGUACCAAGUCACGUUUUAGUAUUAGAUACAUUUGUAUCUAGACUAAUCUAAGAAAAGAAUUUUGGGACGGAGGGAGUACUAC